AUUGAACGCUGGCGGCAUGCCUUACACAUGCAAGUCGAACGGCAGCACGGGUGCUUGCACCUGGUGGCGAGUGGCGAACGGGUGAGUAAUACAUCGGAACGUACCUUAUCGUGGGGGAUAACGCAGCGAAAGCUGUGCUAAUACCGCAUAAGCCCUGAGGGGGAAAGCGGGGGAUCGAAAGACCUCGCGCGAUUAGAGCGGCCGAUGCCUGAUUAGCUUGUUGGUGGGGUAAAAGCCCACCAAGGCGACGAUCAGUAGCUGGUCUGAGAGGACGAUCAGCCACGCUGGGACUGAGAAACGGCCCAGACUCCUACGGGAGGCAGCAGUGGGGAAUUUUGGACAAUGGGGGCAACCCUGAUCCAGCAAUGCCGCGUGAGUGAAGAAGGCCUUCGGGUUGUAAAGCUCUUUUGUCAGGGAAGAAACACCGGCUCUAACACAGUCCGGGAAUGACGGUACCUGAGGAAUAAGCACCGGCUAACUACGUGCCAGCCGCCGCCGUAA
This 501-nucleotide ribosomal RNA is filed under the name uncultured bacterium. RNAcentral describes it as "partial 16S ribosomal RNA". It matches the Rfam family "Bacterial small subunit ribosomal RNA", at positions 29 to 523 of the family's 1533-position model. The record is from RNAcentral.